RNAcentral lists this ribosomal RNA (206 nucleotides) under Calonarius sulfurinus. RNAcentral's name for it is "Cortinarius sulphurinus partial large subunit ribosomal RNA". It matches the Rfam family "Eukaryotic large subunit ribosomal RNA", at positions 81 to 279 of the family's 3401-position model. The record is from RNAcentral. Lineage: Eukaryota; Fungi; Basidiomycota; Agaricomycetes; Agaricales; Cortinariaceae.
UAGUAACGGCGAGUGAAGCGGGAAAAGCUCAAAUUUAAAAUCUGGCAGUCUUUGGCUGUCCGAGUUGUAAUCUAGAGAAGCAUUAUCCGCGCUGGACCGUGUACAAGUCUCCUGGAAUGGAGCGUCAUAGAGGGUGAGAAUCCCGUCUUUGACACGGACUGCCAGGGCUUUUGUGAUGUGCUCUCAAAGAGUCGAGUUGUUUGGGA